UGGGUUGCCCGGGACUCGAACCCGGAACUAGUCGGAUGGAGUAGAGAAUUUCUUUGUUAAAAAAUAGUUUAAAAACCCUCCCCAAACCGUGCUUGCAUUUUUCAUUGCACACGGCUUUCCCUAUGUAUACAUCUAAAACUCAGUUCCCUCCCCAGACGGAACCCCUAUGAAAGAUAAAUACUCAUUUACUCAAUCUUUACUCGUAUAUUGCAUGAGCAUUUCAUAAUGGAAAUGGAUGAUUUCUUUUGUUAUCCCUAUUUAGUUUAGGGAUAUUUUCGAUUUCCAUGUUUUCAUAACCAAUUAUUCAUGAUUGGACAGCUCGUUGAUACAAAUAAUAUCCAAAUACCAAACCCGCCCCCUAUAUAACUUUUGUGAAAUAGAAGAAGCUCUUGGAAAGAUCAAAAAAAGAAUUUGCUCUUCCUCCGUAAAAAACUCUUCCAAUAAUUCUGAACCUAAUCUUUUCAAAAAAAUGCGUACAGUACUUUUGUGUUUACGAGCCAACGUUUUAACACAAGAAAGUCGAAGUAUAUAUUUUAUUCGAUACAAACUCUUUUUUCUUGAGGAUCCGCUAUAAUAAUGAGAAAGAUUUCUGCAUAUACGGACAAAUCGGUCGAUAAUAUCAGAAUCCGAAAAAGCGGCCCAGGUCGGUUUACUAAUGGGAUGUCCUACUGCGUUACAAAAUUUCAUUUUUGCUAAUGAUCCAAUCAAAGGAAUAAUUGAAACUGUUGUAUCGAGUUUAUUCAUAAUAUUAUCCAUUAGAAAUGCAUUUUCUAGCAUUUGACUCCGUACCACUGAAAGGUUUAGUCGUACACUUGAACUUGAAAGAUAACCUAAUAAGGCGAAAGAAUGCUUGUAUAAUGAAAAUGGGUUUAUAUGGAUCUUUUGGGGUUGAAAGCACACAUCAAAAUGACAUUGACAUAAAUUGACAAGGUAAUAUUUCCAUUUUUUCAUCAGAAGAGGCGUAUCCUUUGAGACAAAAAUGGAUUUUCCUUGAUAUCUAAUAUAAUGUAUGAAAGGAUCCUUGAGCAAGCAUAGGCUGUCCCCCCAAUCCUUAGUAAAGACUUCUACAAAAUGUUCUAUUUUUCCAUAGAAAUAUAUUCGCUCAAGAAAGACCUGAUAAAAUGUUAAUCGGAAAUGAAAGGAUUGCUUACAAAGAAAAAAGAAAACGGACUCGUAUUCAUAUACAUGAGAAUUAUAUAAGAACAAGAAGAAUCUUUGAUUCUUUUUUACAAAAAAGGAAAUAGAUUUCUUUGGAAUAAUAAGACUGUUCAAAUUCCAAUACUCGUGAAGAAAGAGUCGUAAUAAAUGCAAAGAGGAGGGAUCUUUCACCCAAUAGCGAAGGAUUUGAACCAAUUUUUCUAGAUGGAUGGGGUACGGUAUUAGUCCCUCUGACAGAUAAUUUAAAUGUGGGAAUUUGCCCUCUAAAAAAGGAAAUAUUGAAUGAAUUGAUCGUAAAUUAUGAGAUUUUACUAUUUCUGAUCUUUCUAAAGAGGAUACUAAUCGUAAGGAAAAUGGAAUUUCCACAAUAACUGCAAACCCCUCCGAUAUCAUUUGAAAAUACAAAUUUUUGUUAUACCUAAAAAAUGUAUUUUGGUUAGAAUCAUUAGCAGAAAUAAUCAAAUGAUUCUGUUGAUACAUUCGAGUAAUUAAACGUUUUACGAUUAGUAAACUAUAUUUAUUGUCAUAACCUACAUUUUCUAACAAAAUAGAUCUAUUUAAGUCACGAUCAUGAGCAAAUGUAUAAAUAUACUCCCGAAAGAUAAGUGGGUAUAGGAAGUCAUUUUUUCGAGAUCUAUCUAUUUCUAAAUUUCUUUGAGAUUUCUCUAUUUUCAUUUUGAAUUCGAUUUGAUUGAAGCAAAGAUAGGGAGUUUAUUGGGUUAUUAAAUGAUACAUAGUGCGAUACCAUAAAAACAAAAUAGUAUAAUAUAAAAAGAAUAGAUACCUCGGAAAUAGUUAAACUCACCAACGGACCCUCUAUCCUCUCUUUUUUCCAUCUAAUUGGUUUAUGUUCAUUUCUAAUUGGUUUAUGUUCAUUUAUAGGGUAAUAGGUGACUAGAAAUCCUUUAAUUUUUCAAGUCAAUCACUCUUUUUUGAUUUUGGAAAAAAAAAAUUGCUUUAUCAAUAUACUUUUUCUUCUACACAUUCAACUCCCCUUCAUAGUGGAGAAUAGCUAAUAGUUAGGACUCAUUAAAAAAAUCGAAAAUCCACUCAAGAAAAAGCUUUUCCCGCACUAGGCACUAAUCUAUUUUUAACGUCUAAUUAGAUCGGAAAAUCAUUCAAAUUAAGAACGGGAGCUCGUUGCUUUUUUAUUUCCCUAUAAUUCCCUAUAAUUGGAGCCGCGGAGCUCUGUCCAUUUAUUAACUCGACCCAACCCCAACUUUGAAUUUGAAUUCAUUUGUUUUUAUGUUACGCACCAAGAAUUCAAACAAGGUUUGUUUGGAGCCGAUCCGGUAAGAAUCAAAUAUUCUCAGAAUUCUCCAUUGAUACGACAUGCUGUUUUUUCCAUUCAUUCCUUUCAGGAUCAGUCGUGGUCUUACAAAUAAUACCGAUGGUAUGGACGAAUCCCUUUCUUCGUACAAAUGUGUAAAAGCUGUUAGCCGCACUUAAAAGCCGAGUACUCUACCAUUGAGUUAGCAACCC
This 2640-nucleotide transfer RNA is filed under the name Phyllostachys heteroclada f. solida. RNAcentral's name for it is "tRNA-Lys". The record is from RNAcentral. Lineage: Eukaryota; Viridiplantae; Streptophyta; Magnoliopsida; Poales; Poaceae.